Long non-coding RNA from Mus musculus (house mouse), 3149 nucleotides. RefSeq annotates it as predicted gene, 40245. The transcript is spliced from 3 exons. The record is from RefSeq and is a predicted model, not a curated record. NCBI's taxonomy places the organism in Eukaryota, Metazoa, Chordata, Mammalia, Rodentia, Muridae.
UCAGCAAAAUUAAACAACAGGACCGCAGUACGCCAGGAGGGGUGGAGUGCGGAGGCUGGGAGGUGGGAGGAGGCGGGGCAGUGGUCCAGGCAUCAGCAUCCUGGCUAGGCCCUGUCACUAGAUCCCUAUACCCAGGUUCCGGUGUGCACAUCUGUCUUGCACAGAGGUGGUGGGUGAUCGUGGGGUCGAGAGGAAGGUCCUGAACAGUGGGGUCUGAAUGGGGCUGAGACUUGUGCCAAUGCCAGCAUCCACAGGAUGCUUAGAACCACUUGGGUCCCAUCCAAGGAGGUGAGGUAUAAUGUUCAUAAAAGCUAUGCUCCAGGGGCCGUACUGUCCAGGAGGUGGCAGGUGCCUCAUGCAGGCCUCAAAACUGAGUGAAAGGCCAGGUGAGGUUAAUGGGACUCCUGCUUCGCUGUGAGUCCCUCAGGGUACCUGUCACUCAGUGAAAGUUGCGUUCGGGAGAAGAAGAGGGAAGACCCAAGACUGGAGACCCAAGGAAGGGAGGGUUGUGCGGAGGAUGGUGGGGAGAACUGUUUUGUGCGCUAGCAGGGGUAGAGUGCCCAGUACUGGAGGAGAGGUAGUCAGGAUGGGUACUGGACAGAAGAGAGAGCCGUGAGCAGGCAGAUCUGCAGCAGGGGGCCUUGCUCUUAUCGCUAGGCCACUGGAACUCCAGGGAGUAUCCAUUGGCUGGCGUUACACGGGUCACAGAAGCCCCUGUGAGAUCAGUUUGAAGGACCAGCAGGAGGACAAGGAAGGUCCCAGCCAGCAACAGACAGACCUGAGGUCUGGCUGCCGGAGGCUGCAGGGAAAGGACGCAGGGAAGGUGGGAUCGUCUCGGGCAGGGGGCCAGCAGGACAGGCAGGUGGGAGAUGGAGAGUGAAGAGGUUGGUGUGGUCCGACUGUGUGGGGACACUGGGAACAGAUCUCAGAAUGACAGGAGUGUCAUCUCGCAGGGGCCUCUGUCCCACCGCCCACAAGCAGUCUCCAGGCAAACAGUGUCAUCUGUCCUCUUCCUCUCAUCUCUCCUUGCUACUUUCUGUCCCUCACUGUGGUAGCUUCCUCUCCACCCCCGUGACUUUUUGCUGUAUUCUGGGUCUACAGAAAAAGCCAUUCUGAUUGCUAAAUGGGAGUCCCUUGAGUCAGUCAUCGAGCUGGUCCCUAUGGCCAUAGCCAGCAUCUUUCAUUCACCUACUGGGCCUUCAGAUGAGUCAUAGACUACAGACUGAGGAUGGACCUCUAACAGUAUAGACAUUAGGUGCUUAGGGCCCCUCUCUGGGGAGAAAAGGGGUCUGUGAGGGAGACAGCCCUCAGCCCCAGCCCCAUGGGAGAGUCCCUUCCAGGUCUGUCUGAGGUUUGCCUGUGAGUCUCUGUUUGAAGGCUGAAGGGCUGUGAUGGCUUGAGGGUCAGUAGCAAAAAAACAUAACCCGAUGGCCCCUGACUUUCUGUUUCUAUGUAACAGAGACGGUCAAGGUCACGAAGCUUGAAGUGGGUUCUUACAGUCAGGAUGCUGGCACGUUGCCUUUGGUGAUAGGUAGAGUCUUUCAAACGCAGUUUAUUGGUGCAGAAGGCUGACCAGCUUUGCCACACCUGACCAGCAUGGCCAGUCACCUACUCACAUUUCACUGGGGAAAGAGCUCAUCGUUCAAAGGCAGAGGAGAAAAGAUGGUAAAGAGGACACAGAGAUCUAGAGCUGUUUAGAAGUAAUUCCUUGAGGCUAUUCCAAUCUCUGUCUGCCAGAAUCCCAGAAGUCCAAUUCAGUAGUGUCAGGGUAGCACACACGAAUCCGUAGUGGUCGCAUGAUCCAGCAGAAGCAGACAGAUUUUCACCGAACCGGCAGGAGUCAGCUUGAUCGACCAGGACCAGCCAGGAUGCCAGGAGUUCUCAGUCAUGCCUCUCUCAAGGAAGUGAAGAUCAGGAAAGAUGGGACACCAAGAAGAGUUGCCCAGCUAGCUAUGGUGACAAGCCCUGGUCACAUCCACGCUGCAGAUUGCCUCCGAAGCGUUUCCCGGUGAUUCUGUAAAGAUCCAGGUCUCGACUCUGCUGCAAAAUGAAUGAACUGCUCAUCUCACCGGCUCGGAGCGCACCCGGGCCAAACUUCUCGCUUGGCUUUUAUGGGGCUAAUACAUCUGCAGACCGAAUGUAUUAUUUCGGAAAACUUUCUUUCCCCUUUCUCCCCUCCCCUGCCCUUGCCCAGAAAAACUUAUUCCUUUGGCGGAAAUGGUUUCAUCAACGUCUUUAAAAAACCACUCAGAUCUUCUUGGCAACCUCGACUACCAUAAGAGAGUAGCAGAGAGAAUGCAAACGAAGCGGAGGGCAUUAAAAACCCUCCUGCUCCAGCAGUUCGGAGUGGAGAAGGGCCCGAUGAUGGAUGGUACCUGGUUUUCUGCUGAGCGAUUUUGCUCUUUUUACAGCUGCCAAUGGCUGAUGUAUUUCAUCUUUUGUUUCCUUUAUUGCCACUUAAGCAGCCGCCCUCAGGCGAGGGGUAUGUCUCUGGGCACCCACUCAUCCCACCCCCCAUGGGAGGACUUCAGCCAGCUGUUCUGCAAUUGAUGCCUGAUUGGGGAAGGCUCAGAGUGGCCCAGCUGGACGGGGUCCCCAGGGAGCACCCUGGCUACACUGCUGAGCUCAGCUGAUGGGUCUGCUGAGGAGGUGGAAGCGCCUGGAGCUUUUGGGGACAGACAUCUUAUUUUCUUGCACUUGAGUGUAGACGAGGCCCGUUGUGUCAGCCUUUGGGCCAUACAUUGUGCUGGGAGCUGUGUAGAUAUAGAGAUUUGGUGUUUCAGUUCUGUCUACAGAAUCUUACCAUAGGAUGUUAAGAUCAAUUACCAUGUGUGUGGUAGGAGCCUCCCUCUGGCACCUAUACCCAUCCCCACACAUGCAGGCAUGUGUUCAUGCAUGCACACAAGCACGCAUGGAUGCAUACUUACCCAUGACAUGUAGGCGCAUGAAUCAGCAUGCACAGAACAAUGGCCAAGUCCUACCCACUCUCCAGUCUGAGUCUACCCAAACCCCUGUGCACAUGCACACACACACAUUUAUGAACAACCCCCGGGGUAAAGAAGCCAAAGAGUGAAGCAAAACUGUGUUAUCCACAACCAGAAUUCAUGUGCAGGCAAGAAAGCACCCGGGAUGGGCUGGAGAGAUGGCUU